AAUUGGAAAGACCAUUCUUUCAAAGGAGGGCAGAAGUACAACUCAUUUCCUGAUCUCUGCCAGACAGACAUAGGAAAUACAAUGAGUACAAAUUUUAAACAGGAAUCCUGGCAAACGAGUAUUUGAAAAUAAGGUGUAUAUUAGCAUCCUUUUUUCUUUCACAUUUUCACUUAAGUACUGCUAAGAUUGCAAUGACUCUGGGAAGGCUUAUUCUGCAGUGCUGAGCCCUUGACAAAAGAUCAUGGGACCACUGAAAGGCAUAUGCCUACUGUAUAAAUCUGCAGAAGCCCCACGAAUAUUUCCAAGAUCAUGUGUCCUGGUGUAUGCCCUGAUGAUGCCUGAACUCUACUGAGACAAUACUUGAGUGCUUACUGUGUAACAUCUUCAGUCCUCAUCAAGGGCUCUGAAAACAUGAGCCAGAGAGACGUCAAGCCAAAAUACAAACAGAAGCAAGUCUGGAAGAAAACAGCUUUACAUAAAAUGUGUAUUUAUAAUUUCUCCAGAUGCAGAUCAGAGACAUUACAGAUGGAAAAGUCUUAUUAUUAGGAUCACGUUAUCAGUCUCCUAGCCAAGACUGGAUUGUUCCCCACUGUUACAGUCAGUAAUGUUUUGCCCAGACAAGUGGUACCCUCCCACAAUCUUUGACAGUCAUCUCAGAGUCACUUUCCCAUAUUCCGCUCUCCUUUCUGGCUUUGCUGCCAUCAGACUAGGCACACAUAUUCCAUUAAGUACACCUUCAUUAGAAAAGACGUCUGUUUUAGCCAUAAUAAGGGUGAGCAUCCCUGUUCACGCCAGUAACAAACUUGCUCAUACUUUCCUGAAACAUCUGCACAGUUUGAGACCCAUCAUAGUGCCGAACAACCUAUGACUUUAAUUUGUGGAUGGCCUCAUAGGUUUGACUUGUUUGUUUGUUUGUUUCAGUCAUGCCAUAAAAAUUUAGGAUAUGUUGUUCACAGUAUCAUUGUAUCACAGAAUAGCUGAGAUUGAAAGGGACCUCUAGAGUUCAUCUGGUCCAAUCCCUUCACUCAAGCUGGGCCACCUACAGUCUUGAAAAAUGCUUAAAGACUCAGUUGGAAAUGCCCCUAUGUAAUUUUUCUCCUCCUCCUACAAUAAAAAGUAUUUU
This 1123-nucleotide long non-coding RNA is filed under the name Gallus gallus (chicken). Its description in RNAcentral is "lncRNA (ENSGALG00010004317.1)". Lineage: Eukaryota; Metazoa; Chordata; Aves; Galliformes; Phasianidae. The record is from RNAcentral.